CGGACCGGCGCACGGGUGAGUAACACGUAUGCAACCUGGCCGUGACAGAUGGAUAACCGGGAGAAAUCCCGCCUAAUACAGCAUGACGCCGGGAAGGGACAUCCCUUUCCGGCCAAAGGGGGCGACUCCGGUCACGGAUGGGCAUGCGGCGCAUUAGGUAGUUGGUGGGGCAACGGCCCACCAAGCCGACGAUGCGUAGGGGUUCUGAGAGGAAGGUCCCCCACAUUGGAACUGAGACACGGUCCAAACUCCUACGGGAGGCAGCAG
Molecule: ribosomal RNA, 267 nt
Filed under: uncultured bacterium
Lineage: Bacteria
Description: partial 16S ribosomal RNA
Rfam family: Bacterial small subunit ribosomal RNA
Source: RNAcentral